Molecule: long non-coding RNA, 224 nt
Filed under: Lathyrus oleraceus (garden pea)
Lineage: Eukaryota; Viridiplantae; Streptophyta; Magnoliopsida; Fabales; Fabaceae
Description: Pisum sativum (pea) long non-coding RNA (PSAT_LNC027048)
Source: RNAcentral
AACACUCCACCACAAACCGGUUGGAUUUGUUCUUCACAAUCUUCGAUCAGAUAGUAAAAUAAAAACAAAGAAGUAAAAUACUAUGAUCUAACGUAAGGUUAGAUCCAGUAAAAGUUACACAAUAGUUUUCGAUGUAGAAACUAUGGUGAGAAAAUUAAUUGAAUGCCUAGAAAUUAAGCUAACAAAGAAAAGAAAAUAAAAUGCUAAGGAAAAUAAAAAUGCUG